CACGAAGGGGGCUAGCGUUGCUCGGAAUCACUGGGCGUAAAGGGUGCGUAGGCGGGUCUUUAAGUCAGGGGUGAAAUCCUGGAGCUCAACUCCAGAACUGCCUUUGAUACUGAAGAUCUUGAGUUCGGGAGAGGUGAGUGGAACUGCGAGUGUAGAGGUGAAAUUCGUAGAUAUUCGCAAGAACACCAGUGGCGAAGGCGGCUCACUGGCCCGAUACUGACGCUGAGGCACGAAAGCGUGGGGAGCAAACAGG
This 253-nucleotide ribosomal RNA is filed under the name uncultured bacterium. RNAcentral's name for it is "partial 16S ribosomal RNA". It matches the Rfam family "Bacterial small subunit ribosomal RNA", at positions 524 to 776 of the family's 1533-position model. The record is from RNAcentral.